Long non-coding RNA from Astatotilapia calliptera (eastern happy), 1884 nucleotides. Lineage: Eukaryota; Metazoa; Chordata; Actinopteri; Cichliformes; Cichlidae. The record is from Ensembl.
CUGAUCCAAAAUCCUCAAAGCUUCAUAGAACUGAAACAAACAUUUAUUUUUAGCUCCAUUCUGCUGCUGAUACAGACUUUAGGUUUCUGAACAUUACACUUGUUGCUGCCUUUCAUAGUGUGUAACUUGAAGGCCCUGAGUACUUUCUCCCACACUGAAAACACUGGGAUGAUCACAUUAUUUGAACAUUACCUAAUAAGACUGAUUCAGGACAGACAAUUAGUUAUGUUAAACUUUCCUAGCAGUCCUUCACAAACAGGGAACAGUCUGUCUAUUCUCUCCAUCUGUCAGCUGCUGCUGGCUCUUCCUCCUCCUCUUCCUCACACACUGCUGAGUUUGUCCUGGUGGAUCAUCAGGGCUGCAAAGCCUCAUAGAUGAUAUGCAGCAGUGGGUCCCUCAGUCUGUCCUCACUCUGGACACUUGCAGUCGUCACACAUGGAAAUCAAAUGUGUGAUAAGCUGCAGGAUUCAAACACAAGUGUAACUUAUAAACACAUGUUCAUACUUUUAUUCCACAAUCAGAAAGAAACAGAGAGAGAGUGCAGGACAGACAGACAGGUGACAGUCUCAGGUGUACACACUGCUACAAACAGGAGGAUUUAGUGUUUGUGUUAUUACGAGUGCUAAACAAGAAGAGUUCCAGAUGGUGCAGUGGACACAUGUGUGACUGCUGUGAUUAAAGCAUCUUUCUUUCAGCUUAACGAGUGAACCGUCAGCUCGUUCAAACACACGUUAAAGUCCGUUUGGCUCGACACCACCGAACAGAGGCAGCAAUAUAACAUAGCUAACAUUAACAGUGCAGUGAAUCCUGCUGGUGCCGUGAUAUUCAGGACUGCAAACCGAGCAGCAUCACUGACUUUCAGCUUGUUGUGUUUGUGGAUAUAUGACUGACUUUAAUUAUCCAUAAAAUCAUCAGAUUCUCUGUAAGAUUAAGGUCGACUAUCGAACGGCGUAUAAAGGCUUUAAAACAAAGUAAACGCUGAAAGUUCAAACAUCGCUAAUGUCACAUAACUUUGCCGGCAUGUGGCCAACAGUAAUGUUUUAAUGUUUCUCAUUAUUAAACAUUUGCACAUAAAUAAGUGACAUAACAUUCAGUACUUACUUUUGAAAGUUUACUCUUUGGCUGCUCCGCUUCCACUUCUUUGAAGUGUCUCCCAGUCCCAGUGCACUUGUUAGCAUGUUUUGGUUCAUGCAACUGGUCCGUCCGCUUAUUGUCUCCCCAGAAACAUUUCCGUUGUGUUGUGUGUGCUUUUGCAGCGUUUUUCUUUUUGCAGCGUUUUUCUUUUUGCAGCAUUUUUCUUUUUGCAGCGUUUUUCUUUUUUGCAGCGUUUUUCUUUUUGCAGCAUUUUUCUUUUUGCAGCGUUUUUCUUUUCGCAGCAUUUUUCUUUUUGCAGCAUUUUUCUUUUUGCAGCAUUUUUCUUUUUGCAGCAUUUUUCUUUUUGCAAGUGUUUUCUGAAGUUGCAGUCCGUUUGGCCUCUCAGGGCCACCGUAAAAAAAAAAAGGCUUUAGGAUAUAAGGUUUCCUGGAAUAAUCUACAAAUUGAGCUAAAAUUGUCAGAAACGAGAGAACAGCUCUUUUGGUCAGUGUUCUUGUUUUGGUCAUUUAUUGCACACAACUCAUACAUUUGUGUUCACUGGUCUGUACAGAAUAUAGUAUUUAAACAUUCUGAAUGAAUAUUGGUUCUUUACUUGUUAUAUUAUUAGUGGUAUUUGUUGUAACAUCUUCUGCCCCCUGCUGGUCUCUCUUGGAAAUAUGAGAAACGAGUCUUUUGUCUGGAUUAACUGCAAAUAAUGAAAGAACAGCUUGUCCACAUGCAGCCUCUGUGUCAGAUCAAUGCAGUGAAGCACACACACUGUUUAGUAAAGUCAUGUUGUGGAGCUGUUUC